This 45-nucleotide non-coding RNA is filed under the name Paramuricea clavata. It matches the Rfam family "Histone 3' UTR stem-loop". From Rfam's summary of the family: The mRNAs of metazoan histone genes lack a poly-A tail. 3' end processing occurs at a site between a highly conserved stem-loop (modelled by this family) and a purine rich region around 20 nts downstream (the histone downstream element, or HDE). The record is from RNAcentral. Lineage: Eukaryota; Metazoa; Cnidaria; Anthozoa; Malacalcyonacea; Plexauridae.
ACACCGGCUCUUUUAAGAGCCAACAAAUGUGCUAAAAGAAGCAAA